CCUACGGGAGGCAGCAGUGGGGAAUAUUGGACAAUGGGCGCAAGCCUGAUCCAGCCAUGCCGCGUGUGUGAAGAAGGCCUUCGGGUUGUAAAGCACUUUUAUCCGGAAAGAAAAGCUUUGGGUUAAUACCCUGAAGUCAUGACGGUACCGGAAGAAUAAGCACCGGCUAACUUCGUGCCAGCAGCCGCGGUAAUACGAAGGGUGCAAGCGUUACUCGGAAUUACUGGGCGUAAAGCGUGCGUAGGUGGUUUGUUAAGUCUGAUGUGAAAGCCCUAGGCUCAACCUGGGAAUUGCAUUGGAUACUGGCAGGCUAGAGUGCGGUAGAGGAUAGUGGAAUUCCCGGUGUAGCAGUGAAAUGCGUAGAGAUCGGGAGGAACAUCUGUGGCGAAGGCGACUAUCUGGGCCAGCACUGACACUGAGGCGCGAAAGCGUGGGGAGCAAACAGGAUUAGAUACCCUGGUAGUCCACGCCCUAAAACGAUGCGAACUGGAUGUUGGGUGCAACUAGGCACUCAGUAUCGAGCUAACGCGUUAAGUUACGCCGCCGUGGGAGGUACGGUCGCGAGACGNGAACGUACAAAUAGAGUUAGUACGGCGUGAGACGUUGCCGACGGACGACGACGAGGGGAGGAGGG
Molecule: ribosomal RNA, 634 nt
Filed under: uncultured bacterium
Lineage: Bacteria
Description: bacterial SSU rRNA
Rfam family: Bacterial small subunit ribosomal RNA (bases 1-545)
Source: RNAcentral